RNAcentral lists this long non-coding RNA (6290 nucleotides) under Sus scrofa (pig). RNAcentral's name for it is "lncRNA (ENSSSCG00055019084.1)". Lineage: Eukaryota; Metazoa; Chordata; Mammalia; Artiodactyla; Suidae. The record is from RNAcentral.
CUUUGUUUUGCUUUGCUUUUUUUCUUUACAGAAACAUUUUUAACUUUUAGUUUAAUAAUCAGCUUUUUUUCAGGUUAUGUAAAGUAGACAUUUUCCAUGGUAUAAAAUAUUCAUUUACUACAGUAAUUUUUAAAACAAUUUUGAUAAAUAUAAAAAGUAGUAAAGGCUACAAAAAGACAACCCACAGAAUGGGAGAAAAUAUUUGCAAAUGAAGCAACCGACAAGGGAUUAAUCUCCAAACUUUAUAAACACCUUCUGAAGCUCCAUAACAAAAAAACAAACAACCCCAUCAAAAAAUGGGCAGAUCUAAACAGGCAAUUCUCCAAAGAAUACAUACAGAUGGACAGAAAACACAUGAAAAGAUGUUCAACAUCACUAAUUAUUAGAGAAAUGCAAAUCAAAACCACCAUGAGGUACCACCUUACACCAGCCAGAAUGGCCAUCAUCAAAAUUCUACAAAUAAUAAAUGCUGGAGAGGGUGUGGAGAAAAGGGAACCCUAUUACACUGUUGGUUGGAAUGUAAUUUGGUGCAACCACUGUGGAAAACAGUAUGGAGUUUCCUCAGAAAACUAAAAAUAGAAUUACCAUUUGAUCCAGCAAUCCCACUCCUGGCCAUCUAUCUGGAGAAAACCAUCACUCUGAAAGAUACAUGCACCCCCAGAGUUCAUUGCAAAACUAUAUACAAUAGCUAAGACAUGGAAGCAAGCUAAAUGUCCAUCAACAGAGGAGUGGCUAAAGAAGAUGUGGUACAUAUACACAAUGGAAUAUUACUCAACCAUUAAAAGGAAAGAAAUAUCAGCAUUUGCAGCAACAUGGAUGGACGUAGAAAUUAUCAUGCUAAAUGAAGUCAGUCAGACAGUGAGACACCAACAUCAAAUGCUAUCACUUACAUGUGGAAUCUAAAAAAAGGACCCAAUGAACUUCUUUGCAGAAAAGAUACUGACUCACAGACUUUGAAAAACUUAUGGUUUCCAAAUGAGACAGGUUUGGGGGUGGGGGGUGCACCAGGGGUUUGGGAUGGAAAUGUUGUAAAAUCAGGUUUUUUUGAUGAUCAUUGUACAAAUAUAAACGUAAUAAAAUUCAUCAAGUCACAACUGCAGCUUGGAUCUGAUCCCUGGCCCAGGAACUUCUCUGUGUCAUGGGUAUGGCCAACAAAGAAAAAGACAAAAACCAAAAACUUUUGUUGCAUCAUUUGUAAUGAACACAUGGCAUUACGUAUUACCGUUCAAUUAAAAAACAUUCUUGUACAUUUUUAACCUCUUUAGGUAAAUUAUUCAUUUGGCCAAAAGGGAAAUCAUUAGGCUCAGAAUUCCAUGGUGAGUAAAAUCAUUAAUGACUAAGUGGCCAGGGUCAGGCAUGAUGUGAAAACACUUGUUCUGCCAAUCUAUUUCAUGCCGGAUUCUGAGCUAAAGUAUUUUUACAAUUUGAGAUUCUGGACCUUGUCAGAGAGUUCAUGGAUGCCAAGUUGUUAUGUAAUCAUUAAAAUAACAAGGCUUUGGAAGCACUAGGAGAUAAAUAGAGCAAUUUUUUGAGAUUUUUUGAGAUUUUUCUUUUGUCUGAUCAGGGCAAUUCAUCUUUUGAAUUACUUGUACUACCACACAGAGCAUAAUUUCCAAUGAAAUUGUAACUCAGCACAUUUUCUCUAAGGGCAACCUGGCCUUCAUCCUGAUCAUGGUUCCAUUUGGAAAUAAUAAACAUCAUAAAGGACAAGAGUUUUCAUACAGAGCAUCUUACAUUAAAGGUCUGACUGAGUAUGAUCAGCACUCCAAAUUGUAAAGAUGGUGCCAUGUUCUAAAAAGACAUUUCUGAUAGGAUAGCUGUAUAUCUCAGUAGGCUAAUAAUUCAGACAAUUUUUGCUACAGUAGAUGUCAGAGACUGACACAAGUUGUUGGAAAAGAACUUGGAACGUAUGUGUUUUUUAGACAGUUAAAUUGGGGUAGGUAGAAACUGUUGGCUUCUUUUCACAGGACCAAACGUGCUGACCACCUUUUAUGGACAGAAUCUCUAUCAUUUGUUUCCCAAAAAAAACAUUGUGUAGGGAUGUGGGUGUGGGUAGGUGUAUGUGUACGUGAGCGGUCAAAUGCUUUAAACCAGGCUUUAGUUGCUAUUUACUUCAAUUUCUACUCAAAUAAAACACAUGUAUCCAACAUGCACACUGCCAUUUGUUUUGAGUACAACACUAAGAGAAUUUAGUGAACCAGCUCUCAAAUGAGACAAUUCACUACAGACCACAGAUGGGUUAUGACAGAAUGAAAGAGGAGUGAAGAAACCAAGGGAAUAAAUUAGAGGAUAGAAAUUAGGAAAAGAAAUGAAAGCAGAUGAAAAUUUGGAAAGCAAGGAAGAAAUCAAAAUGUUACUUAGAAGUAAAGAUUUGAGCAGAAGUUUAAAGCAUGAACACUGAGGCUUAUUAUGGAAUAAUUGCUUAACCUUUGUCCCAAUUUCUUCUAUAAAAUGCCUCCCACCUACACUAUAGAGUUAUUUCCAGGGCUAAAUGAGAAAAUGCAGGUACAGCAUUUAGCAAAAUAAAGUGAAGUAGAUGUUCAAUAAAGGUUAGUUAUUAGCAUUAAGUUAGGGUAAUUAACAUUAAGAGUAUUGUGAUUAUUUGUAUUACUUAUAGAAAAUUACUAUUUUAACAUAAUUUUUUCUUUCAUCUUCUAAAUAUCAGUUAUUCUAGGUGUCAAAUCUUGCCAUUCCUCUUUUUUAAAAAAGUUUUAAUGCUGAUCAUAAAGUUUAUAAUAUAAAGAAUAUUAGGAAAAAUAGUAACAGUCAAAUUAGUUCCUAAGAUAUAAUAGCGAUCUUUAGCUAACUCUUUCAAGUUUUCCUGUAUGAAUAAAGCUGAGAUCAAUUUCCUACUUUUUAAUCCUCUGCCCAAAUAUGAUUUGGAUGUCCAGGAUUCUAAGGAAAACAAGUCUUUCUCCAAAGACUUUAGUACUCUUCCCUGACUCCUUUUCUUUCCUACUGUUUUUAUUUUCAAAAGAUCAUUCACAAAAUUUAAAAUCUCAUUUUGCACAAGUAUUCAUACUAGAAGGAGAACAAUCUAAUCAUUCUUUCAGAGGAGUUACUAUCUUUAAAUUUAUAUCUGUAGUCUAACUUAAUUUUUUUUUAAGUAAGAGUGAACUCUGAGGACACAAGCUGUAUUUUUGCCUUUUUAUCCAUCAUAGUAACUAUUUCAAAGCUGUCCAUAGAGCAGACAUCAAUACACAUAAAUUCAUGAAAAAUGUUAGAAAUGAGAAAAGGACAAGAAGCAGAGGUUAAUUGCAAAGGUCAUCCAAUUUAAAUUCCUAAUGAGAAUUCAGAGUCUUUUGGGUUUCACCUUUUUCACUAUGAUUGAAAUGCCAAGUACAAGCUGAACAGUCUGCUAACAAUCUGAAAAGAAAAUAUAUUACCAUGAUUGUACAGAGAAACUGGAAGCGAUUUUCUCUUGGGUUGGAGGUUUAAACAAACAGGAAGCCCUGUUUAGGAUUUGUCUUCAUCAUCUUUCAUCACAAGUCAGCCUGACUUCCUGAUGAAGAAAUGUGCAACUGCCUUUAGAUACUCAACCAAAGUGGGCAGAAAUGCCAGCCCAACAAUCUGUAACUUUAAUUUCAAAGUUGCUAAUCCUGAACACCUCAUCUCCUUGUGACCACAACUCUCUAAGUAAAGUUUUGUCUCUUAAUCUCCAUGAGAAGUGAGCACAAAAUGAGUCUUUGUUAGUAUCUGGCUUCAUAUUUAAAGGAUCUCAUUUUAUUUCUAUGAUUGAAAACAUCAAAAGGGAUGAGAAACAAACCAAAUACUAGACAAUAGUCAUAAUCACAGACCCCUUAAAGUGUUUUCUACCCAGAAUUAGUAAAAUAGUUUUCUGUAGGUACUUGAAAAAGUAUUAUUUAUGAAAUGAAACAAAGAUUUUUUUUAUCAAAAGCAUAGAGUUAUUUCAAGAUGGAAAAUGAAUAUUUCACAAUUUAUCUCUAGUCCAUAUAUCUAAAAUUUAAUAUACUAUCUACAUUUCAAAGUUAGCAGUUCCUUCUUAAACUUCAAAUUUCAUGAAACUAUUGAUUAAACUGCCAUUACUAAAAUAACAAAUAUGCUAGUUUUCAGGGAGAAGUAAAAUGUGAAGAUUUUUAAUUCAAAUAAAUAAUUUUUCUACAAAAAAGCUCAAGAUGAAUUGAUAAUUCUCUCACAUAAAGAAGCAAAUUCCAAAAUUCAAAUAUGAACUUCCAGGCGGACAUAGACUAUAAAAGAAUGACUAGUAUGUUAUCUAAUACAAAGUGGAAAAAUAUAAAAUCAGGACUCUUAUUACCCUAAAAAUUAUAAUGAAUUAUCAAUUCACACAGUAGAUUUUUACCAUUACUUCACUUGAUGAAUACGUAACACCUAUUCUCAUUGAUACUUCCAAAUAUGAUUUAUUCCAAGGUUCCAUUUCUAUAGUAUUCUUGAAAAUAUUAGGUUAAUAUGAGGAAGGAAGAGCUACUGUAAUACAAAGAGAAAAAACAAAAGCAUAUUCACUAAAUAUGAUUUGAAUCAGACUGCUAACAAUAAAUAUAUGCAAUUUAAAUACAUCCUGACUCAAUGAAAUUCUUGAAGUUGUUGGCUAAUGUUGAAGCCCAGAAGACAAUGCAGUCAACUGCCACAUCACAAAUAUUCCAGAUGUUUCUUGAACCCAUAGUUCUCUCCCCACUUAUCAAGCCUACAACAACCACCAUUCAGUCUCUUGUAUGGCCUUUCAAAAUAGCAUAUUUAACAUAUAUUUUUUUAACAAGCAAAAGAAGCAAAGUAGAAAGAUGAAAAUUAACGUGAACAAAGAUAUAUAGUUUGUCCAGAUAAAAAUAAAAUGUGCAUUUGUUGAGCAAUACAUGAAUGAAUUUCCUUAGAAUGAUGCAACCCCUCCAAAAAAAAAAAAAAAAUCACAGGAGUCAUCGCCAUGGGUGGUAGGAUGCUUAGUUUCCCACAGGAAGCAGCUCAGGUAAUUGCUUGUUUGUUUUUAUACUGGGAGGCAUUCUAUUAUGUGCCUUUGGGUUUCUUCUAUGAGAAAAUCUGCUGCCUGGCUCAUUUUGUUCCAGGCAUUUCAUAGGCAUUUGUCUCCUGUGUUUAGAAAGUCCAUCAUCUUAAUAAGUGUCCUGUAGAAGAAAUGACUAAAUGGGAAAUACAUGUUGUUGGCAAACAAGCUAUGUUACAAAUAAGAAAAGAGUCUAUAAAUAAUGUAAAGAUAUGAAUUCAAAGUUAGAUGCACACAGUCAUCUUGGGAAUAAUACCAUAAAUCGGAGAAGGGUUAGGUUAUCAGGCCAGUUAUGUCGUCUAGAAGGAAUUCCAGUGUUGAGGCCACUGCUGGGCAAGCCCCAUGAAAGGAAAUAUGGGUUAGCUCAUCACUGCCUACAUCCCCAUGGAUCUCAGUGAGGUCGGUUUAAGAGUUCUGCAAGUAACACUGGCUUGCAUACACUGCACCAUGCACUGUGCUGCAAAGUGGGGAGACAAAUAAAUACUCACUGGUCCCUGCUGUCAUGGAAUUUAGUCCAGCAGAGAAAGCAGGCCCAUGAACAUAUCGUUACAAAGUUAGGGAAGCUCUAAUCACAGAGUUAUUUCCAGCGUGCAGUGGCAUCCUAACAAAAGGCAGGCACUUGCUCCAGUAUGAAGAAGGGAAAGGCUGUCCCAGAGGGCUUCCUGGAGGAGACAAUCCCUGGGGUGAGCUUUGAAGGGUGGGCUGGAUAUAUGCUUCAUCCUUCUGAAUGGUAAUCAUAUUUAAGCAGAGUUAAUCUGGCUAUUGGUCUAAUUUCUCUAUAAAAGGACACUGUCCUGAAUAUUGUUAUAUUACACAAACUAUGCUUUAAUUCAAACAUGGAAUAAUGUUGACUUUAAGAAGGCAAGUCAAUAAAUCACUAUUUUCACACUUUCAAUAUCUUUAUUAUCCUUUUAAUGAAACUACCUUGAUUAUCAUUAUUAAUACUUAUUAGUGGUUGAUGAUAUCACUAAAUGAUUAAUGCAAACCUACAUUCUAAACAUCACAAAAUUCAUUCAUUAAGUCUAUGUCAAAUGUCUAAUAGGUGCAGUAGGGGAUGUUUUAGUGACAAAUAAAGCACUGAACUGGAAAACAAAGACCUUACCAUGCAGUCUAAUAAUUCCCAUAAUCAAAGCAUAAAAACUCGAGUAAACUUGCAGGCUAAUCUUUCAGAGUACUUUUAAGAAAAGUUCAUCAUCCAAGGGAGAAGCUUUGUUCUCUUUUCAGUAUACCUUAACCACAUUAAGAGAUCCAGACCACAUAGUAAGAUUUCUAUUUAUAAAAUGCUGGUGAAUAUGAUGCCUGGUAUUUUUACUUUUUA